Molecule: ribosomal RNA, 306 nt
Filed under: Deltaproteobacteria bacterium
Lineage: Bacteria; Pseudomonadati; Myxococcota; Myxococcia
Description: partial 23S ribosomal RNA
Rfam family: Bacterial large subunit ribosomal RNA
Source: RNAcentral
CCCUAUCUGCCGUGGGCGCAGGAUGACUGAGAGGAGCUGCCCCUAGUACGAGAGGACCGGGGUGGACGGACCUCUGGUGCACCAGUUGUCACGCCAGUGGCACCGCUGGGUAGCUAAGUCCGGAAGGGAUAACCACUGAAGGCAUCUAAGUGGGAAGCCCACCUCAAGACUAGUCAUCCCGUCCGGUGGCGACACCGGGCUAAGACCCCAGGGAGACUACCUGGUCGAUAGGCCGGUGGUGUAAGCGCUGUGAGGCGUUGAGCCUACCGGUACUAAUAGGUCGAGAGGCUUGGCCGUAGCUGCCUC